This 256-nucleotide unclassified non-coding RNA is filed under the name uncultured fungus. RNAcentral's name for it is "sequence contains ITS1, 5.8S rRNA gene". The stretch from base 208 to 256 matches the Rfam family "5.8S ribosomal RNA", at positions 1 to 49 of the family's 154-position model. The record is from RNAcentral. Lineage: Eukaryota; Fungi.
UCUCCGUUGGUGAACCAGCGGAGGGAUCAUUGCUGGAAGCGUCUCACGGCGCACCCAGAUACCCUUUGUGAACCAUACCUCUCUGUUGCCUCGGCGUAGGCCGGCCUCUUCACUGAGGCCCCCUGGAAACAGGGAGCAGCCCGCCGGCGGCCAACCAAACUCUUGUUUCUACAGUGAAUCUCUGAGUAAAAAACAUAAAUGAAUCAAAACUUUCAACAACGGAUCUCUUGGUUCUGGCAUCGAUGAAGAACGCAGC